AUCUUGCAAAUAUUUCGAUUUCGUGCAAUAUAUUUCUUUAAUAAAAUGUAAGUAAGCACGGUGGAGUAAGUCCCUUAUUCGCAAAAUUUAAAUCCAUUUUAUCAAGAUUACAUGCACCAUACACAUAGGAUUAAACUCCACGCAAAAGAAAAGAUACAAAAUUAUCCAUACCGUGGCUCGAGCACUUUUCACGCCUGAGAUGAGACGGACGUAUACUCGAUCGCUGAAGAGAGAGAAAGAGCAUGAUGGAGCAUAAAAAAACCUGCGUGCAGAAAGUGCAAGCAGAGAGAAACCGGAGAGAAGAUAUGAGCCUUUUUCUUGUAACCGUAAAAUGUCCUCGCAUUCUACUGCCCUCUGAAGAAGUGGAUCUAAAUUACACAACAAUAUCUACUUUUUUUACGAUGCUCCUGAUGGAAAUAAAUUGCUGGAUUUGAA
Acromyrmex echinatior (Panamanian leafcutter ant) is the source of this 435-nucleotide long non-coding RNA. RefSeq lists it as uncharacterized. Lineage: Eukaryota; Metazoa; Arthropoda; Insecta; Hymenoptera; Formicidae. The record is from RefSeq and is a predicted model, not a curated record.